UGGACGGAUUAUUGUAUUCGACUGUAUUCACGGCGUUAAAUAGGGGAUUACACUGUUUUUAAAACGGAAAGUGAAUCAAUUAGUAACAUAAUAGACUCCU
MicroRNA precursor from Nicotiana attenuata, 100 nucleotides. It matches the Rfam family "MIR6152 microRNA precursor family". Lineage: Eukaryota; Viridiplantae; Streptophyta; Magnoliopsida; Solanales; Solanaceae. The record is from Rfam.